Molecule: ribosomal RNA, 672 nt
Filed under: uncultured rumen bacterium
Lineage: Bacteria
Description: bacterial SSU rRNA
Rfam family: Bacterial small subunit ribosomal RNA
Source: RNAcentral
GCUUCUGAAGAAUCAUUUGAAGUACUUAGUGGCGGACGGGUGAGUAACGCGUGGGUAACCUGCCUCACACAGGGGGAUAACAGUUGGAAACGACUGUUAAUACCGCAUAAGCGCACAGUAUCGCAUGAUACAGUGUGAAAAACUCCGGUGGUGUGAGAUGGACCCGCGUCUGAUUAGCUAGUUGGCGAGGUAACGGCCCACCAAGGCGACGAUCAGUAGCCGGCCUGAGAGGGUAAACGGCCACAUUGGGACUGAGACACGGCCCAAACUCCUACGGGAGGCAGCAGUGGGGAAUAUUGCACAAUGGGGGAAACCCUGAUGCAGCGACGCCGCGUGAGUGAUGAAGUAUUUCGGUACGUAAAACUCUAUCAGCAGGGAAGAGAAUGACGGUACCUGACUAAGAAGCACCGGCUAAAUACGUGCCAGCAGCCGCGGUAAUACGUAUGGUGCAAGCGUUAUCCGGAUUUACUGGGUGUAAAGGGUGCGUAGGUGGCAUGGCAAGUCAGAUGUGAAAUGCCGGGGCUCAACCCCGGAACUGCAUUUGAAACUGUCAAGCUAGAGUACAGGAGAGGAAAGCGGAAUUCCUAGUGUAGCGGUGAAAUGCGUAGAUAUUAGGAGGAACACCAGUGGCGAAGGCGGCUUUCUGGACUGACACUGACACUGAGGCACGAA